AGUAAUUCAUUUGUCGCUAAUCGUGAUUCAAAUAUUAGCUUUAUUUUCACUAAGAGUGAGUACGAACUUCAUCUCCGUGUGUUGGUUUGGUUAUUACAACGCGUGUGUUUAUUAAUAGAACGCCCGGUAGUAGGUGUCGUCACUUCCGGUAUAGAACAAGGUGCGUGGACCCAAAUUGAUACCCUGCUAGGAAAGCGGCUAUAAUGCCAUGCAAACCGACAUUUUGGCAGAAAAUUGUGAUUGUACUGCAUAAUUUGAAAGAUCUAUAAACAUUUGGCGGCAAGCACAUCUGGUGGUAGCUUCUAAGGCAUUGACUUUCCUCACAAGAGGCCCAAAAGAGUGACCUGUCCUCAAAACUUGUCUCGGACUCAUGGCACAUGCACACUUGACAUAUCAGAGGUAUAAGGGAUUGAGAUGCACUCAGGACAGCCUGAUCAUGAUGAAUAGAUAACACAGACUCACAGGACGCUGAUGUCAGAUGAGGUGUCUGAUGAGGUGACACAGACUUGCAGGAGGAUGUAGACUGAUUAGGUGACACCGACUCAUUAGCAGACAACAGUACAGAUGUCUUUUUACAAAUAUAACAAAACCAUUCACUGCCAACCAAAAGACUCAAAUCAACCUCUGCAUGGUCUACACUUGGAAGACAGUCCCUGUGGAACCAAAGACUGCAUGCUUGGUUGUCACAGCCAACCCACAGAAUGCCGUUGUCCUCGUCAUCUGUCAUCCCUCUUUUUCCACAAAUUGGGCAUGUGUAAAUGUCCUCGUCAAGGAUGGAAGACAUCAUCGGAUGACUCUCCUUCCUUCUCCUUCAGUUGGUUGACUAUUUCAUCCCCUAUUUAGACAAAUCAGUACAAAAAUUGAGUUCCAAUGAUGGGUAGGAAAAUGUCCGCAAGCUCAGACGGUAUCAGGCCUUUGGUUACAAGUGGAUGGCCUCUGACAAAUUGACCACAUGUUUCACAAAGGGGGUCAUUGUGGUUGGUACAUGGAGAGCUUGGUUGAUUGUCUCCCCCUGGACCAGGUUGAGGUGAAUACUCUGGGUCACAAGGAGCAAGCUUGUCCUUGUCUAUGGCAUUUUCAUUCACUGGACAUAUGCCACAUUUCCUAAAACCCGUUUUGAUAUAGUGUGGACUGAAAACUCUGUCAACUGCUGCUCUAAGGAUCUGAGCAAACCUAUAGUGGACGAAAAAGGACAACAUCUAGUGGUUGGAGCAAGUGUGUUGUGUGGGGAGGGAGACAGUACAACUCCACCUGGUUUGCUCUAGCAGUUUCAAUAAGGUCAAUGGACAAGUGGCUUUCAUGAUUAUCCAUGAUGAGGAGAAGUGGACGUUGUUUACUUGCAUGGACCAGGAACACCUGUUUGAACCACUUACUAAAUAGAUCUCCAUCCAUGUAGCCAUUGGGUGAUGUACCAAAUAGCCAGUCACCAGGAAUUCCUGAAUGUUGAUGAAAUUAUGCCUUAUUUCACAACACAUUUUUGAAAAACGUACCAUCUCUGUAAGCUCCACUUGGAAAACUUUUUUCAUACACUACAAAAGUUGGCAAUACUUUUCCAUCUCCGGACACACAUAUGGUUGCUGUUGUAUGUGCCGUAGUGACCACCUGUCGAGUAUAGGCCUGGCCUUUGUUGAUACAGACCCUGUCUUGAGCUGCAACUCCCUUCCCAAAUCCAGUUUCAUCAACGUUAUAAACCAGGUGUGGUUUAUUUUCAAUAUCUGAAUUGAUUAAAAGAAGGGAAAAGUGCUGAGUCAUGACAGUUGCAUUUGACAUGCGAACUCUUCCUCCAUCAAGGGUCUGUGGCUUUCGCAUUUUGAAAUUUGGAUGCCUUCUCAGAAAAUUUCGAAACCAUUUAUAGGAUGGUCCAUUUUCUCCUAUUGUUGUUUGUCUUUCUUUUUUCUUAACUAUACCCCGUACAAACAGUUUGAUCAUCUUAUAUGUCAGUGGCAGUGAUCUUUCUUGACAAUAUUCAAGAUAUGUACAGAGGUGAAUCUCUUCCUCUGCUGUAAGCACUCUUAUGAGUUGGCCUUUCAACAAAUUUCUUGCAUGACGUUUUACAGUCAUAUGGCUCAGUCCGUGACUCUUAGCUGCCCGUUUAAUUGGGAUGCCCCUGUUAACAUCAUUUACUGCAGAUUGCAGUUGUGAUAGACUGUAUUCCUUGUAUUUUACUGAAUAAAUGAAAUAAAAAAAAUCUGAAGCCA
Molecule: long non-coding RNA, 2198 nt
Organism: Pecten maximus
Lineage: Eukaryota; Metazoa; Mollusca; Bivalvia; Pectinida; Pectinidae
Exons: 7
Source: RefSeq, a predicted model, not a curated record